GACACGAUGAUCUCUGGAGGUCCCUUCCAACCCCUACAGUUCUGUGAUUCUGUGAUGCGUCUCAUCGGGUCCAACGGACUCCUGCAUUUCCAGUUCUGCAGGUGAGCUGGAACCUGGUCUUUGCUCACAGUGUGGGAUGGUGAGGGUGGUGUCCGGGCUGGCCUUGCUUCCUCAAUUCCCACCUACCAAAUCUAAUAUUUGAGGAGCAUGUGCUGAGCAGUUAGAGAAGAUGGAGGCAACAUGUUGAGUACCUCAGCCUUCUCCUUGUCUAUUACCAGCUACAGUGCUGCUGGUAAGCAGCAUCAUGCACUUGCUGAGUUUCCCCAGAGCUGCUGAGCAGGCAGACUUCCCCAGCUGUACCGACUGUGCCCCGAUCACCAAGAGCCUUUGUGUCAUUGUGUCUCACAGCCCCUGGCAUCUCACUACGGAGCCACUCGUGAGAGCAAUGUGCACAGGGUGCAGCCCCCGCACGUGUGGGGCAGCGCCUUCAUUAUUGUGUUGUGUUUAACAGGUGGCAACGGAAGGUCUGCUGUUUCUCCAAACAACAUUGUUAGCUAUCCUGUCUCUGGAAUGCAGGGUAGCAUGCUGGACAAUAAAGCCACAAAUUAACAAAGCAGCAGCAGAUUGGUGGAUGGAAUUCUGGAGUUGUAGCUGAUAAGACGAUUGGCUGGAGUGAGUCAAGCAUCCUUCAGCUUGAUCCCAGUCAAAGAGUGCACAGCGAGAAAGGCAUCUGGCCUUCAUCAGAAGACCACCAGUGGUUCAGGGAAAUAUGGAUUCUUUCUUCUCUGCCUCUGCGUUUCCCACAGUGGUGUUCUGGGAAUGGCUUCUGUCAUUGAUUUUCAAUAUCGAAUACUAGCUGUUAUUAAAGCAGUUCAGCUGUGGUGCCCGUGGUCAGAAUGCCCUGCAGCAGACCCUGGCCUCGGUUGUGAAUGGAAGAACGGACAGCAGAUCUCUCGAUAUCAAAAUUGAUAUUGCAGUGAAUAUUUACAAGCCUCGGGAGACCUGGAUGGGAUCUCAGAGUGGCAAGGCCAGGUACGGAAGUUGUUACUGCUAUGUUUUUAUUCUUGAAGUGGGAUGCCUGUUUUGCACUGCAAUUGUUUUACAACGUUAAUGAUUGUUAAUCAUUCCUAGCCAUUCUUAGCUUCUCUGCACACACCUGUCCAAUUGAUACCAGCUUUUUCAUCACCUCAGAGGCUUGGAAAAAAAAAAAAAGCAUGACGAAAUCAACUUGAUGAUUAUUUAUGUAUUGAUUUACAGAUAUUCUUACGCGCUUAGCAGAGGUUUACUGGGUGUAGGGAAGUUUUCCUUGGUUUUCUUCGUCUUUUUCCAAUUGACGCAAUUUUCUCCUCCCUCAAUCCCCAUCUAACUGCAUUUUUCCUCUGCCCUCACGACAAAGAGAGAAGGAAGCGUGAGAAGCCGCGGCGCGGCUCCGCGUCGAUCCAGUCGUCGUCGUUUCCGCGGUCUCCGGUGCCCCCUCGUGGCCAAUCGGUGGAACUGCGGCAGUGUUUUGGUGCUACAGGUGCAUGCGUUAUGCUGUUGGCGGGACUCGGCGGCAGACAGCGGCAGUUCCGCGCAUGGGCCACGAGGUGGCAGCAGAGACCGCGGAAAGAACUUCCCUGACGGCAUUGACGGGGUCCCGCGGCGCAGUCCCCGGGGGAAGAACACGAAGUUAGAAGCCGGGGGAAAAGACAAAGAAAACAGAGGGAAAUUACUCCAGACCCUGGAAAGCCUUGCUAAGUGCUUAGGAAUAUCUGUUUUUUAAAAAAACAAAACAACAAAGCUUGUUUUUGCCAGUAUCCGUUGCAUUGUUUUUAAAUAUUCACAUACCAAAAUGUAACUGCCCAGCAAAUUUAAUGAUAAUGAAAUAAAGCACUUUAGCAGA
Long non-coding RNA from Centrocercus urophasianus (Greater sage-grouse), 1882 nucleotides. RefSeq lists it as uncharacterized. The record is from RefSeq and is a predicted model, not a curated record. The transcript is spliced from 3 exons. Lineage: Eukaryota; Metazoa; Chordata; Aves; Galliformes; Phasianidae.